GAGCGACCCAGGUAGACGAUGUAGUCCUCCUUCUUUGGGUAAUCACUGUGGGAGAAGAUACCCAUCAAACAGCUUAGUCCCAUGAAAUCUGCCACUUCUUCCUUCCCUCCCUAGAGGCCUCAAAGCGCGACUUGUCCCCAAGGCCAUGGGCUGCAUGGACAGGGGCAGAUGAGGGAGAAAUGAGGCGGAAUACUUUGCUGGGAAGGAGAAAGGGAUGUGCUUGGGGUGGGGCAGAAGAGUCAAAGAGGAGAAACCCAGGGCCGUACAUGAAGCAGUGUGUGGCGCUGAUCACCCAGCAAGGGCUGAUGAGGCUGCCUCCACACAGGUAGGUGACAGAGCCCCCCCGGUGCCUCCUGUAGAUGGCCGCAAACCAGGGCUGGUUCUCGAUGGUGGUGAAUUCUCCCCCAAUAAUCUUAAAGCGGGGCCUCAGAGUCUUUUGGCCACACUGAAAUUUUAAUUCUUCUGGAGGAGAGGAGGGCUUUUUUCCUGGAGGACAAACAGAGGGAUGUCUUAGGGAGGCAGGUAGGAGAAAGCAUCCCUCUCGGGCACCCCCCACCUCCUCAGUCCUCCUGUGAUGGAAUAAGGGGACAUGCAAGUUCGUCCCCUUCCACCCCACUGUCAUCAGCAGGUCAGUGAUGCUCACCAUCUGCGCAGUCAUGCACCAUGCACUCUUGGACAAGCGGCUUUAGGCCCACCUGCACAUAGCACCAGGGUCGCCUCCGGUUGUCUGGGUUCCUGGCAACACAGAAAGAUAGGGGAUGUCAUUCCAACCCAGAGGGCCUUCCCUGCCUCCUCCCCUCAGGGAAGACUCAACCAGAGGCCGCGCUUCUCUUGUGCUAUGGCCAGCCCUCUGGGAGAAGGGGAUGGUAACAAGGUUUCUGGGAAGCUGUAGGGAGGGCUUUUGGUCCUUGUUGCCCCCACCUCACCUGCAGUAAUUAUGUUUCCCCAGGCCCAGCUGAAGAGCAUCAGAUCUGUGGGCAUGUUGCACCAGUGAAUGUUGGAGAAGUACUUGUUGGACACACAUGUUCCUCCAUUUAGACAGUCACAGUUCGCUGGAGAGAACAAAGCCAACUGUUGUAGGGGUGGAUACUCACAUGGAACUUGAUGAAGUUCAUUGCUGCCCUGGAAGAGAUUCGGGAGGAGGCUUCAUCAAAGGUCCCAUGCUCCAGGGACUCCAGGGUGAGGGUAAACUGGCCCCAAUCCCAAAACCCACUCUUCCCUCUCCCUCUUGCCUCACCCUGUUCGUAUCUAGUUCUCAAAUGGAAGACCAUGGGUUUCCAGCCAGGAGAAAUGGAUUGACCCAAGCAAGCUUCAUCUACCAGAUGCCCGCAGGCUGGGGCAGUCCCGGCGGCCUCUUCCUCCCUUGCCAGCCAGUGCCAACCCCCGUGGUUCUCAAGCAUCCGCUGCCACCCUGUCCCAUUUCCUGGGGAGAGCCUGACCGUGCUGUGGAUGGAAUCCGGAGGACCCCAGCUCCCUG
RNAcentral lists this long non-coding RNA (1477 nucleotides) under Pan troglodytes (chimpanzee). RNAcentral's name for it is "long non-coding RNA NONPTRT002236". Lineage: Eukaryota; Metazoa; Chordata; Mammalia; Primates; Hominidae. The record is from RNAcentral.